Molecule: unclassified non-coding RNA, 1908 nt
Filed under: Hevea brasiliensis (rubber tree)
Lineage: Eukaryota; Viridiplantae; Streptophyta; Magnoliopsida; Malpighiales; Euphorbiaceae
Source: RNAcentral
AUUCAUGAUUGUUGAUUUGGUAUAAAUGCCACUAUGGUCUAUGGAACAAAAUCAACAAUCAUGAAUGAUACAAUGUCAAUGACAGUGUUACUAGAAACAAAGAAGUAUUGACCUACUUAAAAGAGACCUUUGUUUAAAGGAGAUAAAACAAUGUAACUUAAAUUGCAGAAUACACUCAUCCCCCAUCAAUUUGUUCAAUUAAAAAAAAAAAUCCUUAAAACAGAUGAUAUACUGAUAUUUAAGGUCAACUUUCUCCCAGGAAUAACAUGAACAGAAAUUAUUUGAUAGAGUAAGGUUAUACGCCUGGUUCCUACCAAAUAUGCAGUCUCACAAGUCCCUUAUUUUUUAAUAGAAGAUGCUACAAGUUAGAGAUCUCAUGUUUAGAUCACAGUGGAGUUGGCAUAGUUAUGAGAUGGAGGGCUUCUCUUACAGUGUAGUCACAGACCACACAGAGGCCUCCAAUACAAUGGACUAGGAAAAAGAAAAACACCCAACUUAAUUCCAGCCAAUGGAAAGCACAAGCAAGGUUUAUUACAUGCACAUUCCUAUAUUUGACACAUUUUCCCGUACCAAUAGAAAUGUGAUUUCAUUGCUCAAGAGUUUUGAACAACUUCUAAUUCAUGUUUAUACUAUAUAUGAAGAUACCAAAAAAAGAUAUUCAAAAUGUUAAUCUUGCACAUGAUAGCCAAUUGCUUUCCAACAUAUGGCUUCGAAAUCAUCAAAGUAAUCCUCAAGUAAGUCUUUAGUCAGUGAUUUAUAAACAAUUCUCUCCUAUUAUGGUUGAUCCUGAAUCAAUACUACAGGUUGUUAGGUGGGAUGGUAAUUAUGAAUUCUGCAAUGGUCAUGCCUAUAUUAAGAAUGGAAAUGUAGUUAAAUUUUUUUUGGAUAUCAUUCCACCUUUGUUUGCAUAAUGAUUUAUGAACACUAAACUAGGUCAUAGGGUGUCUUAUUGUUGACUAGAGCCUACUCGGAAUUAUACUAGAGUCUGCCAGGAGUUAUCUCAGAUAUGAAUUACUUUCUGUUAAUUCAAUCCAAGUUAUUUUAACUUACAAUCCAGGCAGCAACCUCCAUCUACUGCUAAUCCAUAAUGAUUCAUCAUCAGUCUUCUAUGGGUGGCCAUAUUUUUCAACCAGCAAAGCUGUCACAUCUCAAAAUUUCAAUUGUUUAUAUAAGUGACCCUCAAAAACCCUUAUUCCCAGGGAACUGAAACAGGUUGAACUCCCCAGAUUGUACUGGCUGCUCAGUUACCAUUACAGCCUUUCUCUAAAAUACCUAUGCUUAGCAGUUAGCUUCCCCAAUCUCCGCAGGCAUUUUUUAAGUGGGGCUGAAGUCUAAAUCUAGGGCUCUCUUAUUCUGUAAUAUUUGUCCUAACUGAAAAACUGAUAUAUGCACUCUUCACCUUUCUCUGCACGUGCAAACCUGUCUUGAUAUUGUAUGUUCCCUUGUAUACUGAAAACCCUCAAAAGAGAAAAUGGCUAAGUUUCAGGUUGACAGUUGUACUGCAAAUUGAGAUUAAGCUGCCAGCCUUAAAUAAUUACCAAUAUUUGAAAUUCUUCAUUUCCUUUAAGUUUAUUUACUAACAAUUCCAAAUGUAUAUAUAGGUUUUAAAGACCAAAAAGUGGAAUUUUUUAAAGUGUGAAGAUAGAAAAUUCCAGAAGAGUAGUAUAUCACUAGGAAACUGAUGGUGAUAAAUCGGAUAUAGUUCUUUUCAUCUAUCAAAGACAUGACAAGGAGAGCUGGCUAUAACUUGGUUUGAAUAGAAUAUUUGUCUUGAUUAGGAUGGGAAACUUUCAUACUAGUCAGGUUUUAUUUGAUAAGCUAUUGAAUUGAUAUCACAUCAUUACAUUAUUUUAGAAGCUAAAACUAAGAAACAACCAAGAAGGAAAAACCUUGCCAUCAAUUGUUAAA